Molecule: ribosomal RNA, 840 nt
Filed under: Lactiplantibacillus plantarum
Lineage: Bacteria; Bacillati; Bacillota; Bacilli; Lactobacillales; Lactobacillaceae
Description: bacterial SSU rRNA
Rfam family: Bacterial small subunit ribosomal RNA
Source: RNAcentral
UCGAACGAACUCUGGUAUUGAUUGGUGCUUGCAUCAUGAUUUACAUUUGAGUGAGUGGCGAACUGGUGAGUAACACGUGGGAAACCUGCCCCAGAAGCGGGGGAUAACACCUGGAAACAGAUGCUAAUACCGCAUAACAACUUGGACCGCAUGGUCCGAGUUUGAAAGAUGGCUUCGGCUAUCACUUUUGGAUGGUCCCGCGGCGUAUUAGCUAGAUGGUGGGGUAACGGCUCACCAUGGCAAUGAUACGUAGCCGACCUGAGAGGGUAAUCGGCCACAUUGGGACUGAGACACGGCCCAAACUCCUACGGGAGGCAGCAGUAGGGAAUCUUCCACAAUGGACGAAAGUCUGAUGGAGCAACGCCGCGUGAGUGAAGAAGGGUUUCGGCUCGUAAAACUCUGUUGUUAAAGAAGAACAUAUCUGAGAGUAACUGUUCAGGUAUUGACGGUAUUUAACCAGAAAGCCACGGCUAACUACGUGCCAGCAGCCGCGGUAAUACGUAGGUGGCAAGCGUUGUCCGGAUUUAUUGGGCGUAAAGCGAGCGCAGGCGGUUUUUUAAGUCUGAUGUGAAAGCCUUCGGCUCAACCGAAGAAGUGCAUCGGAAACUGGGAAACUUGAGUGCAGAAGAGGACAGUGGAACUCCAUGUGUAGCGGUGAAAUGCGUAGAUAUAUGGAAGAACACCAGUGGCGAAGGCGGCUGUCUGGUCUGGUAACUGACGCUGAGGCUCGAAAGUAUGGGUAGCAAACAGGAUUAGAUACCCUGGUAGUCCAUACCGUAAACGAUGAAUGCUAAGUGUUGGAGGGUUUCCGCCCUUCAGUGCUGCAGCUAACGCAUUAAG